GUUUCUUACAAAAUUUUGAUCUUGAUGGUAAUUACUGAUUAGUUUAAGAAAAAGGACCAACUCAAAGAAAAAUUAGAGUGUCCAUUCGGAUUAGGGAUAGGAAUUGGGAAAUUGAUUGUCGUUUAUUUCACUCUUUUUAGGUUUUAUAAUUAUUAUCUUUUAAUUGUUUUUAAACAAUUGUGCUUAUAUGGAAAUUACAAUUGACAAUACGUAUCGAAAUUGCAUCUUGCGCUUGGUCAACACUGAUGUGAACUCCAGUGAUAUUGAAAAUUUCAUGAGCCUAGAUUUGUCAACAUCAAUG
This 301-nucleotide unclassified non-coding RNA is filed under the name Hevea brasiliensis (rubber tree). Lineage: Eukaryota; Viridiplantae; Streptophyta; Magnoliopsida; Malpighiales; Euphorbiaceae. The record is from RNAcentral.